Struthio camelus australis is the source of this 1701-nucleotide long non-coding RNA. NCBI's taxonomy places the organism in Eukaryota, Metazoa, Chordata, Aves, Struthioniformes, Struthionidae. The record is from Ensembl.
GGCUGUUCGCGUUUACCCCUGAACGCCUUUCCCCCCUCCUGGAGGUCUCGCACGGUCCUAGACAGCAUCUCACCCCUCUUGUCCCGGCUGCCGCUGCUGUGUGAGAGCUCUUCACGCCCCAGCGAAACUCCUCACAGGUUUCUUUGCAAAGACGUUUUUGAUAAACGGAUAGAUGUGGCUCGAAUGUAUUUUUUUUUUUUUCAGUAGUCGGGCUUGAAACCUUCCCUUCUGCAUACUUUUUUGGUCUGAUCACGGUCCUAGACAGCAUCUCACCCCUCUUGUCCCGGCUGCCGCUGCUGUGUGAGAGCUCUUCACGCCCCAGCGAAACUCCUCACAGGUUUCUUUGCAAAGACGUUUUUGAUAAACGGAUAGAUGUGGCUCGAAUGUAUUUUUUUUUUUUUCAGUAGUCGGGCUUGAAACCUUCCCUUCUGCAUACUUUUUUGGUCUGAUAUAAACACACAGUCACGUGUUCUUGAAGAGUUGGAACAAACCUGUGUACAUGAGUAAUGAUUACUAAUGAUAAUGUUAUUAAUGAUUACUUGUACUGUCUAAAUAUUCAUUUUCAAGAGAUGAAAUCUACUGCUGCAACAGCAUUGGUCCGUGUCUAUGUUUCUGCUAGCUGUUGAUCAGUUCCUGUCUUCUGGCUACUUCGCUGUGUUUUACCAGGUUAUCCCUCGCUUGACGGACGCGGUUUUCAGCCCCGGUUGCCCGUUGCAUGUGCUUUCCUCCUCUCCCAGGGAAAAGGAAAAAAUGUAGUCAUUCCCCUCCCCCAGCCCAGUUUGAGUCUGUUGUGGAAGCUACGUAAAUGCGUCGUGCCAGGCGGACGUGGCCUAUGGCCCGUAUGUUUGACAUCGUUGUGCUGAAGCUUUAUAACAAUCUGCCAGUGAGGUCUGCACAGGAAGUCCCAGUUACUCUUAUGCAUCACUUUGACUGUGUAUCAAGCUGGCUGAUGAAGGCUCUCAGGUUUGUUUGCUUUGAUUCUGUUUCAUUCGAGGCCUUAAAAAUAAUUUGCUAAGGAAACUAAAAUUGUAUGAAAGUUCUCUUUUGUGUUGUGGCUCGUGAAUAUUAAUCGAUGUUUUAAGGAGCAAAAUGAUGAAUGUUUGUUUUGACGAGUUUAGUUAUCAUCCAAGUGCAAUGUUAAUCUAAUUCUAGAUCAGAAAUCUGAUGUAUCAAAUCCUGUUUUUAUCACCUCAGUGUUACUGUUUUAGUAAAGGAAAAUAGGGAACAUGAAACAUGCAGUAUAUAUAAUGGAAAAUGAAAGAAUGCUAUAUUUGAGACAUUGAUCAUCUUGUAAAAGGGGCUGUGGCUACUUUUAUUGACUUCUAGUGCAAUAUGGUCCUGAAGGAUUAAGGACCUUGUGGAUCCAGGUACCCAAAUGUUACAUCAGCUAGUCUCAGUGAACUUCCAAUUUAAAUGUAAGAUGCACUGUAACCAAAAGGUGUAACAAUCAGAAAAAAACCAGGAAAGUGAGAACAAGAACGACGUAGGCUGGUUUAUGACUGAUUUGUGAUUGAGGAUCUUCUAGAAAACCCCCAAAAGUUAUAUAUGAGAAGAUUUUCAUGAUCUCUUUUUGGCUGUCUGCUUAUUUAUUAUUAGUUGGCUUCAUAUCGUUACUUGACAUGCUUCUUAAGGACUGAGAAAAGCUCAAAUGUCACCAAUUUUAGGAAAGUGGGAAUAAAAGUUUUCAAAUAACUUGAUGCA